This 586-nucleotide ribosomal RNA is filed under the name uncultured bacterium. RNAcentral's name for it is "bacterial SSU rRNA". It matches the Rfam family "Bacterial small subunit ribosomal RNA", at positions 338 to 924 of the family's 1533-position model. The record is from RNAcentral.
CCUACGGGAGGCAGCAGUGAGGAAUAUUGGUCAAUGGGCGGAAGCCUGAACCAGCCAUCCCGCGUGCAGGAAGACAGCCCUAUGGGUUGUAAACUGCUUUUCCAGUGGGCGAAACACUCGUACGUGUACGAGAUUGACGGUACACUGGGAAUAAGCAUCGGCUAACUCCGUGCCAGCAGCCGCGGUAAUACGGAGGAUGCAAGCGUUAUCCGGAUUUAUUGGGUUUAAAGGGUGCGUAGGCGGAUGAAUAAGUCAGUGGUGAAAGGCUGCAGCUUAACUGUAGACUUGCCGUUGAUACUGUAGGGCUAGGAUUUGGUUGCUGUGGGUGGAAUGUGUGGUGUAGCGGUGAAAUGCUUAGAUAUCACACAGAAUAUCGAUUGCGAAGGCAGCUCACAAAGCCAAGAUUGACGCUGAGGCACGAAAGUGUGGGGAUCAAACAGGAUUAGAUACCCUGGUAGUCCACACUGUAAACGAUGAUAACUCGCUGCCGGCGAUACACAGUCGGUGGCCAAGCGAAAGCGAUAAGUUAUCCACCUGGGGAGUACGACCGCAAGGUUGAAACUCAAAUGAAUUGACGGGUUUGCGU